UACGGAGGAUCCAAGCGUUAUCCGGAUUUAUUGGGUUUAAAGGGUGCGUAGGCGGCCUAUUAAGUCAGGGGUGAAAGACGGUAGCUUAACUAUCGCAGUGCCUUUGAUACUGAUGGGCUUGAAUGAACUAGAGGUAGGCGGAAUGUGACAAGUAGCGGUGAAAUGCAUAGAUAUGUCACAGAACACCAAUUGCGAAGGCAGCUUACUAUGGUUUUAUUGGCGCUGAGGCACGAAAGCGUGGGGAUCAAACAGG
RNAcentral lists this ribosomal RNA (253 nucleotides) under uncultured bacterium. RNAcentral's name for it is "partial 16S ribosomal RNA". It matches the Rfam family "Bacterial small subunit ribosomal RNA", at positions 524 to 776 of the family's 1533-position model. The record is from RNAcentral.